Molecule: small nuclear RNA, 107 nt
Filed under: Aotus nancymaae (Ma's night monkey)
Lineage: Eukaryota; Metazoa; Chordata; Mammalia; Primates; Aotidae
Source: RNAcentral
GUGCUCACUUCAGCAGCACAUACAUUAAAAUUAGAAUGCUACAAAGAAUAUUUGUAUGGCCCCUGCACAAGAAUGACACAAAAAUUUGUGAAGUGUCCCAUGAAAAA